GUAAGUUGUGUAGGGCGCACGGUGGAUGCCUAGGCGCUAAGUACUGAAGAAGGGCGUGGCAAGCUGCGAUAAGCUUCGGGGAGCCGCAAGCAGGCAUAGAUCCGGAGAUUUCCGAAUGGGGGAACCCGGCGGUCGAUAACCGGCCGUCACCGCCCACUGAAUUCAUAGGUGGAGCGGGGGGAACCAGGGGAACUGAACCAUCUAAGUACCCUGAGGAGAAGAAAAUAACAAUGAUUCCCUAAGUAGUGGCGAGCGAACGGGGAAGAGCCUAAACCGGCUGUGGUGCAUAAGCUUGAAGGCGUUGCCCAGCUGGUGUCGUGGGACCGAUUGGCCGUGGCUUCAAACAUGGCGGCGAGACUUGGCCUGACUAGCCGAAUAUUUCUGGAAAGCUGAACCGAAGAAGGUGAUAGUCCUGUAGGUGAAAGUCAGGAAGCUCGUUGGAUCGGCACCCGAGUACUACGGGAUCCGGGAAAGCCCGUGGGAAUUUGCGAGGACCGUCUCGUAAGGCUAAAUAUACCUUAGCGACCGAUAGUGAAUAGUACCGUGAGGGAAAGGUGAAAAGCAUGCCGAUGAGGCAAGUGAAAGAGACCCUGAAACCGUGUGCCUGCAAGCAGUCAGAGGGCUAUGGACAUCUUGCAUGUCAAUGCCUGAUGGCGUGCCUAUAGAAGAAUGAUCCGACGAGUUACCCAACGUAGCGAGGUUAAGCCGGGAAUGGCGGAGCCGAAGCGAAAGCGAGUCUGAAUAGGGCAAUAGUUGCGUUGGGUAGACCCGAAACCAAGUGAGCUACCCUUGGCCAGGAUGAAGCCCCGGUAACACGGGGUGGAGGUCCGAAUGCCUCAACGUGAAAAGUUGAGUAAUGAGCUGUGGGUAGGGGUGAAAAGCCAAUCGAACUUGGAGAUAGCUGGUUCUCCCCGAAAUAGUUUUAGGACUAGCCUCGGAAAUGAGAAUCAUGGGGGUAGAGCACUGGAUGGGCUAGGGGGCAUACCAGCUUACCAAACCCAACCAAACUUCGAAUACCAUGAUUUGGUGUCCGGGAGUCAGGCAGUGGGAGAUAAGUUUCAUUGCCGCGAGGGAAACAGCCCAGACCGUCGGUUAAGGUCCUGAAGUUCAUGCUAAGUGGGAAACGAUGUAGAGUUCCAUAGACAGCCAGGAUGUUGGCUUAGAAGCAGCCAUUCAUUCAAAGAGUGCGUAAUAGCUCACUGGUCGAGGGACUCUGCGCGGAAAAUGUAACGGGGCUGAAGCAUGACACCGAAACCACGGGUUCAGUAGAAUUUCGGUUCUAUUGAGCGGUAGGGGAGCGUUCUGCAUUGGAAGAAGGUAUACCGCGAGGAGUGCUGGACGGUGCAGAAAUGAGAAUGUCGGAACGAGUAGCGAUAAGACAGGCGAGAAACCUGUUCGCCGUAAGCCUAAGGUUUCCUGGGCAAGGUUAAUCCACCCAGGGUUAGUCGGUCCUAAGCCGAGGUCGAGUCGACGUAGGUGAAGGGAAGCUGGUUAAUAUUCCGCACCAUGUGCUUAUCGGUUAUCGAUGUGGUGACGCAGGGGGGUAUUCCCGCACGGUUCGAUAGUCCGUGUCGAAGGGUGUAGGCGGAGACUACAGGCAAAUCCGUAGUUUCAACGCUGAGGCCUGACAGGCACCCGAAGCUAGUAGGGUGAAGGAGAAGAUCCCUGGCUGCCGAGAAAAGCCACUAAGAGAGAUGAGCAUGUGACCGUACCGCAAACCGACACAGGUGGGCGAGGAGAAAAUCCUAAGGCGCUCGAGAGAACCCACGUUAAGGAACUAGGCAAAUUGACUCCGUAACUUCGGGAGAAGGAGUGCUCUGGUAGGGUGACGGGAACGUAUUAGCAAUGAUGCGUCGAACGGUAGCCCGAGAGAGUCGCAGAGAAUAGGCUCAGGCGACUGUUUAUCAAAAACACAGGACUCUGCUAAGGCGAAUAGCCGACGUAUAGGGUCUGACGCCUGCCCAAUGCUGGAAGGUUACGGGGAGGGGUCAGGAGUAGUAAUACUCCGAAGCUCCGAACUUAAGCCCCAGUGAAUGGCGGCCGUAACUAUAACGGUCCUAAGGUAGCGAAAUCCCUUGUCGGGUAAGUUCCGACCCGCAUGAAUGGCGUAACGGUCUGAGCACUGUCUCAACGUGGGGCUCGGCGAAACUGUGAACUGGGUGAAGACGCCCAGUAUCCGCAUCAGGACAAAAAGACCCCGUGGAGCUUUACUGUAGCUUGAUAUUGACUUUUGGCCUUAUAUGUAGAGCAUAGGUGGGAGACUAUGAAACUAGGGCGCCAGCCUUGGUGGAGUCAACAGUGGAAUACCACCCUUAUGAGUCUGGAAUUCUAACUUGCGCCCGUUGAUCCGGGCGAGGGACAGUGUCAGGCGGGCAGUUUGACUGGGGCGGUCGCCUCCCAAAAUGUAACGGAGGCGUCCAAAGGUUCCCUCAGCGUGAUUGGAAACCACGCGCAGAGUGCAAAGGCAAAAGGGAGCUUGACUGUGAGGCAAACGAGCCGAACAGGGACGAAAGUCGGGCUUAGUGAUCCGGUGGUUCCGAAUGGAAGGGCCAUCGCUCAACGGAUAAAAGCUACCCCGGGGAUAACAGGCUUAUCUCCCCCAAGAGUUCAUAUCGACGGGGAGGUUUGGCACCUCGAUGUCGGCUCAUCGCAUCCUGGGGCUGGAGUAGGUCCCAAGGGUUGGGCUGUUCGCCCAUUAAAGCGGUACGUGAGCUGGGUUCAGAACGUCGUGAGACAGUUCGGUCUCUAUCCGAUGCGGACGUAGGAAAAUUGAAGGGUGCUGCUCUUAGUACGAGAGGACCGGAGUGGACAGACCGAUGGUGAACCAGUUGUGACGUCAGUUGCAUCGCUGGGUAGCUAAGUCUGGAUGGGAUAACCGCUGAAGGCAUCUAAGUGGGAAACCCGCCCUAAGAUAAAUUUUCCCUUUCGAUCGCAAGACGAAGUAAGGGGCCAUGUAGACUACGUGGCGAUAGGCCGGAGGUGAAAACGCUGCGAGGCGUGAGCUGACCGGUACUAAUACCCCGAGGACUUACCCUC
RNAcentral lists this ribosomal RNA (3036 nucleotides) under activated sludge metagenome. RNAcentral's name for it is "bacterial LSU rRNA". It matches the Rfam family "Bacterial large subunit ribosomal RNA". The record is from RNAcentral.